Non-coding RNA from Dallia pectoralis (Alaska blackfish), 75 nucleotides. The record is from the annotation of a GenBank genome assembly. NCBI's taxonomy places the organism in Eukaryota, Metazoa, Chordata, Actinopteri, Esociformes, Umbridae.
GCCGUGAUCGUAUAAUGGUUGGUACUACUCUGCGUUGUGGCCGCAGCAACCCCGGUUCGAAUCCUGUUCACGGCA